GACGAACGCUGGCGGCGUGCCUAAUACAUGCAAGUCGAGCGGAAGUUGGAGAGCUUGCUCUUCAACUUUAGCGGCGGACGGGUGAGUAACACGUGGGCAACCUGCCCUGCAGAUCGGGAUAACUCCGGGAAACCGGUGCUAAUACCGAAUAGUUUUCGCCACCUCCUGGUGGCGUACGGAAAGACGGUUUCGGCUGUCACUGCAGGAUGGGCCCGCGGCGCAUUAGCUAGUUGGUGGGGUAACGGUCCACCAAGGCAACGAUGCGUAGCCGAGCGGAGAGGGUGAUCGGCCAAAAUGGGACUGAGACACGGCCCAGAAUCCUACGGAAGGCAGGAGUAGGGAAUCUUCCGCAAUGGACGGAAGUCUGACGGAGCAACGCCGCGUGAGUGACGAAGGUUUUCGGAUCGUAAAACUCUGUUGUGAGGGAAGAACAAGUACCAACUAACUACUGGUACCUUGACGGUACCUCACCAGAAAGCCACGGCUAACUACGUGCCAGCCGCCGCCGUAA
RNAcentral lists this ribosomal RNA (511 nucleotides) under uncultured bacterium. RNAcentral's name for it is "partial 16S ribosomal RNA". It matches the Rfam family "Bacterial small subunit ribosomal RNA", at positions 28 to 523 of the family's 1533-position model. The record is from RNAcentral.